Molecule: long non-coding RNA, 362 nt
Filed under: Nicotiana benthamiana
Lineage: Eukaryota; Viridiplantae; Streptophyta; Magnoliopsida; Solanales; Solanaceae
Description: long non-coding RNA (NBEN_LNC012430)
Source: RNAcentral
GAAGUGUGGACUGUUAAGGCAACGAGCAAUCUGUCUAAAAAGAGGAACCAUGCAGCGCUGAAAUUCUGCCGCCUGUGUGGUCUCCAACACUUCUUCAAGCUCCUGAAGAAAGAGUACUUCCUUUUGACAAUUAGUGACAGGCUAGUACUUCAACAAACCCCUUAUAACUGUAUCAGCUAACUUGUAAUCCUUUUCAACAAACUACUUCCUUUUGACAAUUAGUGACAGGCCAGUACUUCAACAAACCCCGUAUAACUGUAUCAGCUAACUUGUAAUCCUUUUCAACAAACUGAACGAUACAGUAAGAUAACUGCUGAUGAUACAUUGCAACUGGUUUUGGCUUGUGUAGUGGUAUGAGUGCC